UGCCCCCUGGCUUAGUUGGUUAAAGCGUCCGACUGUUAUAACAUGGAGAUUGUAAACAUUACGUUUCAUCGGGAGAUCGAGAGUUCGACCCUCUCGGGGGCAG
Pterulicium gracile is the source of this 103-nucleotide non-coding RNA. The record is from the annotation of a GenBank genome assembly. NCBI's taxonomy places the organism in Eukaryota, Fungi, Basidiomycota, Agaricomycetes, Agaricales, Pterulaceae.